AUUGAACGCUGGCGGCAGGCCUAACACAUGCAAGUCGAGCGGAUGAAGGGAGCUUGCUCCUGGAUUCAGCGGCGGACGGGUGAGUAAUGCCUAGGAAUCUGCCUGGUAGUGGGGGAUAACGUCCGGAAACGGGCGCUAAUACCGCAUACGUCCUGAGGGAGAAAGUGGGGGAUCUUCGGACCUCACGCUAUCAGAUGAGCCUAGGUCGGAUUAGCUAGUUGGUGGGGUAAAGGCCUACCAAGGCGACGAUCCGUAACUGGUCUGAGAGGAUGAUCAGUCACCCGGGAACGGAGACCGCGUCCACCCCCCUAGGGGGGGAAGCAGGGGGGAAUUUUGGAAAGGGGGGGAAGACUUGAUCCCACCGUGCGGGGUGUGGAAGAAAGGUCUUGGGUUUGAAAAGCCUUUUAUGGGGGGAGAAAGGGCAGUAAGUUAAUCCCUUGUUUUUUGGACGUUCCCAACAAAAUAACCACCGGCAAACUUCGUC
This 484-nucleotide ribosomal RNA is filed under the name uncultured bacterium. Its description in RNAcentral is "partial 16S ribosomal RNA". It matches the Rfam family "Bacterial small subunit ribosomal RNA", at positions 30 to 507 of the family's 1533-position model. The record is from RNAcentral.